AACGAACGCUGGCGGCAUGCCUAACACAUGCAAGUCGAACGAGACCUUCGGGUCUAGUGGCGCACGGGUGCGUAACGCGUGGGAACCUGCCCUUAGGUUCGGAAUAACUCCCCGAAAGGGGUGCUAAUACCGGAUAAUGUCUUCGGACCAAAGAUUUAUCGCCUUUGGAUGGGCCCGCGUUGGAUUAGCUAGUUGGUAGGGUAAAAGCCUACCAAGGCGACGAUCCAUAGCUGGUCUGAGAGGAUGAUCAGCCACACUGGGACUGAGACACGGCCCAGACUCCUACGGGAAGCAGCAGUAGAGAAUAUUGGACGAUGGGCGAAAGCCUGAUCCAGCAAUGCCGCGUGAGUGAUGAAGGCCUUAGGGUUGUAAAGCUCUUUUACCCGGGAUGAGAAUGACAGUACCGGGAGAAUAAGCACCGGCUAACUCCGUG
Molecule: ribosomal RNA, 433 nt
Filed under: uncultured bacterium
Lineage: Bacteria
Description: partial 16S ribosomal RNA
Rfam family: Bacterial small subunit ribosomal RNA
Source: RNAcentral